UACAGAGGGGGCAAGCGUUGUUCGGAAUUACUGGGCGUAAAGGGCGCGUAGGCGGCCUGCUAAGUCGAACGUGAAAUCCCUGGGCUCAACCCAGGAACUGCGUCCGAUACUGGUUGGCUUGAAUCCGGGAGAGGGAUGCGGAAUUCCAGGUGUAGCGGUGAAAUGCGUAGAUAUCUGGAGGAACACCGGUGGCGAAGGCGGCAUCCUGGACCAAUAUUGACGCUGAGGAGCGAAAGCCAGGGGAGCAAACGGG
This 253-nucleotide ribosomal RNA is filed under the name uncultured bacterium. RNAcentral's name for it is "partial 16S ribosomal RNA". It matches the Rfam family "Bacterial small subunit ribosomal RNA", at positions 524 to 776 of the family's 1533-position model. The record is from RNAcentral.